UUGACAACUCUGAAAAGGGAAGAAUUUUUUUUAUUCACAUACCAGAUAAAAAGCGUGGGCAGUGGCAGUCAAAGCUUCUCUCAUGCUGUUUCCUUCCAGAUGGUUUGGUCUUGUCCUUUUGGUACUUGCCUCCAGUGGUGAGAGGUAGUUCAGGUUUCCUAGCCUGUUCAGCCUUUAGUCUCU
Molecule: small RNA, 183 nt
Filed under: Prolemur simus (greater bamboo lemur)
Lineage: Eukaryota; Metazoa; Chordata; Mammalia; Primates; Lemuridae
Description: TUC338 (ENSPSMG00000008271.1)
Source: RNAcentral